UACGUAGGGGGCAAGCGUUGUCCGGAAUCAUUGGGCGUAAAGCGCGUGUAGGCGGCUAGGUAAGUCUGCUCUGAAAGCCCGGGGCUCAACCCCGGGAGGCGGGUGGAUACUGCCUAGCUCGAGUCCGGAAGAGGAGUGUGGAAUUCCUGGUGUAGCGGUGAAAUGCGCAGAUAUCAGGAGGAACACCGGUGGCGAAGGCGGAUCUCUGGGCCAUUACUGACGCUGAGGAGCGAAAGCGUGGGGAGCGAACGGG
This 253-nucleotide ribosomal RNA is filed under the name uncultured bacterium. RNAcentral's name for it is "partial 16S ribosomal RNA". It matches the Rfam family "Bacterial small subunit ribosomal RNA", at positions 524 to 776 of the family's 1533-position model. The record is from RNAcentral.